This 556-nucleotide ribosomal RNA is filed under the name uncultured Desulfitobacterium sp. Its description in RNAcentral is "bacterial SSU rRNA". It matches the Rfam family "Bacterial small subunit ribosomal RNA", at positions 50 to 479 of the family's 1533-position model. Lineage: Bacteria; Bacillati; Bacillota; Clostridia; Eubacteriales; Desulfitobacteriaceae. The record is from RNAcentral.
AACACAUGCAAGUCGAACGGUCCAGUAUCUAACACCGAGUAUUUUAGGAGCUCAUAAGUUGGUGACAGCGAGAGCGCGAAGAAUGAGCGCUCCACGCAUUAAAUAAGUACCAACACUGAAACUUAGAAUAUUGGGUGUUAGAUGCUGGAUAGUGGCGGACGGGUGAGUAACGCGUGGAUAACCUACCCAUGAGAUCGGGACAACCCUUGGAAACGAGGGCUAAUACCGGAUAGCCUUAAGAGCUGGCAUCAGCACUUAAGGGAAGGUGGCCUCUGAACAUGCUACCGCUGAUGGAUGGAUCCGCGUCUGAUUAGCUAGUUGGUGGGGUAAAGGCCUACCAAGGCCACGCUCAGUAGCCGGCCUGAGAGGGUGAACGGCCACACUGGGACUGAGACACGGCCCAGACUCCUACGGGAGGCAGCAGUGGGGAAUCUUCCGCAAUGGACGAAAGUCUGACGGAGCAACGCCGCGUGUACGAUGAAGGCCUUCGGGUUGUAAAGUACUGUCUUCAGGGACGAAUGGUAGGUGUGUAAAUAAUGCGUCUACAUGACGUACC